GACGAACGCUGGCGGCGUGCUUAACACAUGCAAGUCGAACGGAGAGGCCCUGCUUUUGUGGGGUGCUCGAGUGGCGAACGGGUGAGUAACACGUGAGUAACCUGCCCUUGACUUUGGGAUAACUUCAGGAAACUGGGGCUAAUACCGGAUAGGAGCUCCUGCUGCAUGGUGGGGGUUGGAAAGUUUCGGCGGUUGGGGAUGGACUCGCGGCUUAUCAGCUUGUUGGUGGGGUAGUGGCUUACCAAGGCUUUGACGGGUAGCCGGCCUGAGAGGGUGACCGGCCACAUUGGGACUGAGAUACGGCCCAGACUCCUACGGGAGGCAGCAGUGGGAAAUAUUGCACAAUGGGCGGAAGCCUGAUGAAGAAACGCCGCGUGCGGGAUGACGGCCUUCGGGUUGUAAACCGCUUUCGCCUGUGACGAAGCGUGAGUGACGGUAAUGGGUAAAGAAGCACCGGCUAACUACGUG
This 468-nucleotide ribosomal RNA is filed under the name uncultured bacterium. Its description in RNAcentral is "partial 16S ribosomal RNA". It matches the Rfam family "Bacterial small subunit ribosomal RNA", at positions 28 to 507 of the family's 1533-position model. The record is from RNAcentral.